UUUAUGGAGAGUUUGAUCCUGGCUCAGGAUGAACGCUGGCGGCGUGCCUAAUACAUGCAAGUCGAGCGAACAGAUAAGGAGCUUGCUCCUUUGACGUUAGCGGCGGACGGGUGAGUAACACGUGGGUAACCUACCUAUAAGACUGGAAUAACUCCGGGAAACCGGGGCUAAUGCCGGAUAACAUGUUGAACCGCAUGGUUCUACAGUGAAAGACGGUCUU
Molecule: ribosomal RNA, 220 nt
Filed under: Staphylococcus pseudintermedius
Lineage: Bacteria; Bacillati; Bacillota; Bacilli; Caryophanales; Staphylococcaceae
Description: partial 16S ribosomal RNA
Rfam family: Bacterial small subunit ribosomal RNA
Source: RNAcentral